GCUUGCCACAACAUAAAAAUCGAACAUCAGCAGACACUACUUAUGGCAUGCUUUGCUUAGGCUUGGGAAAGAUGUUGCUGCAGCAUUGAGAUCAGUGGUGGGGCAAGGAACGGAGGCAACAUUGAGAUUGCCGUUGGAGCUUGCAUUCGAUAACUCAUUACGUGCAGAUCGGAGGGCUUGGCUCACUAUCGUCAGGUCAGAUGUUGGUUCGCCAUCUUCAAAUGUUGAAUCUCCAUCAGAUGUUGGUACGCCGUCUUCAGAUGUUGAAUCUCCAUGGUCAGUUUCGCUAUCUUCAGAUCUUGAACUUCCUUGGUGAGAUUCAUGUUCU
RNAcentral lists this unclassified non-coding RNA (328 nucleotides) under Hevea brasiliensis (rubber tree). Lineage: Eukaryota; Viridiplantae; Streptophyta; Magnoliopsida; Malpighiales; Euphorbiaceae. The record is from RNAcentral.